GGUGGCUCAGUGGUAAAGCGCUUGUCUUGCAUGCCUGAGGCCCUGGGUUCGAUUCCCAGCACCA
RNAcentral lists this transfer RNA (64 nucleotides) under Dipodomys ordii (Ord's kangaroo rat). It matches the Rfam family "tRNA". Rfam says of the family: Transfer RNA (tRNA) molecules are approximately 80 nucleotides in length. Their secondary structure includes four short double-helical elements and three loops (D, anti-codon, and T loops). Lineage: Eukaryota; Metazoa; Chordata; Mammalia; Rodentia; Heteromyidae. The record is from Rfam by way of RNAcentral.